UUACUUACAUUUUUGCAGAUUUUAUCCUACUUCUUUUGCUCACGUUAUUACGAUGAUUAUUGAGGUGCAAUACCAUGAGUAUUUCCCGACCUGGGAAAACUAUGACCGUCAUGAUAUGAUGUUUAGAGAGUCAUGUAAACAUAGACGCAUCUUUUCAUGUAAACAUAGACAGACGCAUCUUUAUUAACAUAUGAUGUAUUUUUUUUAUUGAUAAUGAACGGCAGCCCCUAUAUAAUUUGCAAAAACAUUUCUCAUAGGCUCCUGAGCAUGAGAGGCAGAUAAGAGAUGCCUUUAAUGCACAAGCCAAACAUAGACUAUCCGAGUUUGCUUUGGGAUGCUUAGAACAAGAUGAAGCAACUCACUUGAAUUGUAAAGGAGUAAGGGAGGGCCUCCCAUGGUAUAUCAGCUCUUCAGGUUUAAGGAUGAAAUGUCAGCACGAAUUGAGUCUUAAAGUAGAAAAGACAUGGCUGGGUUUAGCAACACCACCGGAUAGCCAAAUUAUUAACAUUUGGCUUAAUGUGGUUGGAGGACUAAAUAAAGGGAGAGCAUAUGGCCUUUGUUCGGAGCUUUCGUUUAUGGUGGCUCCUCGAGGUUAUUGAUUGGGUCAUCCUUUUCGUAGUCCUCCGUGAAUCAGGAUGAGUUGGAUGCCACGUGGAGACAUGUGCAGGAGUUGAACAAAAGACGCAAACCAAAAUGCAAAGGAGAAGGAAGCACUGAAGCAUAAGGUGGACAGCCAAAAUAAGGAUAUCAAUAUGCUCAAG
Molecule: long non-coding RNA, 761 nt
Organism: Lycium ferocissimum
Lineage: Eukaryota; Viridiplantae; Streptophyta; Magnoliopsida; Solanales; Solanaceae
Exons: 2
Source: RefSeq, a predicted model, not a curated record